Molecule: long non-coding RNA, 1251 nt
Organism: Quercus robur (English oak)
Lineage: Eukaryota; Viridiplantae; Streptophyta; Magnoliopsida; Fagales; Fagaceae
Exons: 4
Source: RefSeq, a predicted model, not a curated record
AAUAAGAAGGCAGAGGAGAAAGGCUACCUGUCUUGGUUAACAUCGUCCUUAAAAGCUCCAACACCUGUUUCCUUCGACCAAAGUCCAAACACUCUCACUACUCUUUACCUUCUUCACAAACAUCUCUCCAAAGUUUCAAACUUCCUACUUCCUAGGACAAACACAGAUCUGCAUUCCUAAAGUUGCAGAAUUCUGAAGACACCUCAAACUUGAAGGCUGCAGAAGCUUAGAGGGGGUUCCAUUCUGGUCUUGGAUUUAAGAUAUUGAGAGACCUCUUGUUAAGAUGACAGAGACAUUGGAGUGAUGGAAGGGCUUUCAAACGGAAGUUGCAUGGACCAGAAAGCUAAGUUUCAUUGAUGCUAACCUUUAUCCAAAAUGGAAAAUGGGAAAAAUUUGAAUGUGACUGGAACAUUAGAUAACCUUAUGAUGAAGCCCAUGGAUCAAAUACAACGCACUACUAGAGGCCGUCUUGACAUUACAACUCGUCGCCUGAAGAACCGAGAACGGCAACGUAGGUACAGGGCUCGGAAACGGCUAGAAGAAGAAAUCAAGAAGUCUAGUGUUAUAAAUCAGUCAACUCCCCCACAGGUAGAUUUGCAACAAAAUGUGAUUCAUGGCCCUUGUAUGACCCGAGUGCAUUGUAAACGAGAUUGGAAAAAAGAUGCAAGAAAGGCCCACACUUCUAAGGAUCAAGAUGUCAUAUCUAAUGUUACUGUUACAUUAACUAGUGAAAGUCAGACACCAUGCUCUACAAAUGGAAUCAAGGCAGAAACAUCAUUAAAAAGAGAAUGUCAUUCUGAGAUAUCUCAUAGCCUGGUCAGUUCUGAAACGCAUAGAACUAUAGUUGGCCGGAGAGACUGGAAAGCAGAUGCGAGAAAGAAAAAAUGCUAGAGUAUCAGAGACCUCCCGAAUAUGUUUCUUUUCUGAAGUUGUAAUGACUCAAAAAAAUUCUCUUGUGCCGACUCCAGUCAUGAUUUUGAAGAAAACUUUUGUUAUUUUCUUUUAUUUUUUUGGUCACUUUUACAGCCGUUGCGAUUGCUGUUGCAGAUGAAGAAGGGAAUUUAAAAUAUGCCUAGAAGAGGUACCACUAGGUUACUGCCAGAAGGAUAACAAUGCCAAUGACAAUCUGAGUUGUGAGUUCGCAUUAGUUAGAUGUCAGUAUAAUAAUCAAGAAUGAUCGUAAUGUAUGAUGUUAAUGUAAGAUCUGUCCAUGAAAAAUAUGAAAAUUGUCCAUCAUGAUGUUAAAGUGUA